UGACAGUUGGUUAUUGUUUUUGAUACUAGGAAAUAUAGAGGAAGUUAAUUGAAAGUGUAUUGAUGACAAAUGAUUUAGAUAAUGUAGGGAUAUAUGGUUUAGCGUAUCCUCCACCUAUUUAGGAAGAGCUGCAGUGGCAAGAGGAAUUUGCGUGAAAUUGAAGAAAGGGCUGAAGAAAACAGCUUUGGAUUGCAUCCACUCCAGCCCAGAGGAGAUCACAGAGCCUUUCCAAGUGAAAUGACUUUAACAAAUAAAAAGAAAUGGACAUUGGUUUCUGAGCCAGAGGUGACACCCUUUGUCCAGGUAGGAAAAUUCAGAUUCUGUUGUGGUUCCUCGCUUGUGUCACACCAGGAACGUGCCACAGUCUGUGUUAAAUGGGGAGAAACAUGAAAUGGCAGCUUCAUCUUCUCCUGGCAUGGCUGGGGUGGAGCUGGGACACUUGGGAGAGGCUGGGAGGCUUUAAUGUGGGAGCAGAAAUAAAGGGAAAAUGGGGAUGGAGGCUUGGAUGCAGCUCAGCUCACAGCUCCAGCCAGGCUCUGACCUCUCUGCGCAUCAAAUUCUGCAGUGGAUCCAAGAAGAAAGAUCUUUUCCUUGGCACAGGGUGUAGGAAGAGUCUUCCCCUUGUUGUGGAGCUCCAGGCAGAAGAGUUUUCUCUUUGCUCCUCACUUGGCUGCCCUUGGGAGGAUUCACCAAACGCUCUGAGGGAUCCAGGGCCAAAGGGCGGAGGGGUGGAGGCCGUCGAACACCAAGGUACAGUUGGACAGAUUGAGUGA
Molecule: long non-coding RNA, 773 nt
Filed under: Junco hyemalis (dark-eyed junco)
Lineage: Eukaryota; Metazoa; Chordata; Aves; Passeriformes; Passerellidae
Description: lncRNA (ENSJHYG00000004255.1)
Source: RNAcentral